GAAGAAACUAGUCAACGUGCUGGAUGCUGUUUUCAAGCCUGAUGUUCGCUGAUCCAGAGCAGACAUGCAGCAGUUGUUGCUGAUUCAAGAAGAAAUUCUCCCUGAACAGCAGGAGGGGAAUCUGAGUGUUGACCAGGAGGACAUUAAAGAGGAACAAGAGAAUCUCUGCAUCAGUCAGCAGGAGCAGCAGCUGGAGGAGGCCAUCAACAUGCAGCCGUUGUUGUUGAAUAAAAAAGAAACUCUCCCUGAACACCAGGAAUGGAAUC
Molecule: long non-coding RNA, 266 nt
Organism: Thalassophryne amazonica
Lineage: Eukaryota; Metazoa; Chordata; Actinopteri; Batrachoidiformes; Batrachoididae
Exons: 3
Source: RefSeq, a predicted model, not a curated record